Molecule: ribosomal RNA, 466 nt
Filed under: uncultured bacterium
Lineage: Bacteria
Description: partial 16S ribosomal RNA
Rfam family: Bacterial small subunit ribosomal RNA
Source: RNAcentral
GAUGAACGCUGGCGGCGUGCUUAACACAUGCAAGUCGAACGGAAAGGCUCCUGCUUGCAGGGGUACUCGAGUGGCGAACGGGUGAGUAACACGUGGGUGAUCUGCCCUGCACUUCGGGAUAAGCCUGGGAAACUGGGUCUAAUACCGGAUAGGACGAUGGCUUGGAUGCCAUUGUGGAAAGCUUUUCGGGGUGCGGUGAGCUCGCGGCCUAUCAGCUUGUUGGUGGGGUAAUGGCCUACCAAGGCGUCGACGGGUAGCCGGCCUGGGAGGGUGUACGGCCACAAUGGGACUGAGAGGCGGCCCAGACUCCGACGGGAGGCAGCAGUGGGGAAUAUUGCACAAUGGGCGCAAGGCUGAUGCAGCGACGCCGCGUGGGGGAUGACGGCCUUCGGGUUGUAAACUCCUUUCGCUAGGGACGAAGCGUUUUGUGACGGUACCUGGAGAAGAAGCACCGGCUAACUACGUG